This 501-nucleotide ribosomal RNA is filed under the name uncultured bacterium. RNAcentral describes it as "bacterial SSU rRNA". It matches the Rfam family "Bacterial small subunit ribosomal RNA", at positions 8 to 507 of the family's 1533-position model. The record is from RNAcentral.
AGAGUUUGAUCAUGGCUCAGAUUGAACGCUGGCGGCAUGCCUUACACAUGCAAGUCGAACGGUAACGGGCCUUCGGGUGCCGACGAGUGGCGAACGGGUGAGUAAUGCAUCGGAACGUACCUUCAGUGGGGGAUAACGUAGCGAAAGUUACGCUAAUACCGCAUAUUCUGUGAGCAGGAAAGCAGGGGAUCGCAAGACCUUGCGCUGAUUGAGCGGCCGAUGUCAGAUUAGCUAGUUGGUGGGGUAAAGGCCUACCAAGGCGACGAUCCGUAGCGGGUCUGAGAGGAUGAUCCGCCACACUGGGACUGAGACACGGCCCAGACUCCUACGGGAGGCAGCAGUGGGGAAUUUUGGACAAUGGGCGAAAGCCUGAUCCAGCCAUGCCGCGUGAGUGAAGAAGGCCUUCGGGUUGUAAAGCUCUUUCGGCCGAGAAGAAAUCGCAUGGGUUAAUACCCUGUGUGGAUGACGGUACCGGAAUAAGAAGCACCGGCUAACUACGUG